RNAcentral lists this ribosomal RNA (507 nucleotides) under uncultured bacterium. RNAcentral describes it as "bacterial SSU rRNA". It matches the Rfam family "Bacterial small subunit ribosomal RNA", at positions 791 to 1304 of the family's 1533-position model. The record is from RNAcentral.
UAGUCUACGCCGUAAACGAUGGAUACUAGUUGUUUGAUCUUCGGAUUGAGUGACUAAGCGAAAGUGAUAAGUUAUCCACCUGGGGAGUACGUUCGCAAGAAUGAAACUCAAAGGAAUUGACGGGGGCCCGCACAAGCGGUGGAGCAUGUGGUUUAAUUCGAUGAUACGCGAGGAACCUUACCAGGGCUUAAAUGUAGAUUGACAGGUUUAGAGAUAGACUUUUCUUCGGACAAUUUACAAGGUGCUGCAUGGUUGUCGUCAGCUCGUGCCGUGAGGUGUCAGGUUAAGUCCUAUAACGAGCGCAACCCCUGUCGUUAGUUGCCAGCAUUUCGGAUGGGGACUCUAACGAGACUGCCGGUGCAAACCGCGAGGAAGGUGGGGAUGACGUCAAAUCAUCACGGCCCUUACGUCCUGGACUACACACGUGCUACAAUGGCCAGUACAGUGGGCAGCUACUAUGUGAAUAGGAGCGAAUCCUCAAAACUGGUACUCAGUUCGGAUCGGAGU